Molecule: transfer-messenger RNA, 352 nt
Filed under: Pseudobdellovibrionaceae
Lineage: Bacteria; Pseudomonadati; Bdellovibrionota; Bdellovibrionia; Bdellovibrionales
Also listed under: 1 other name
Description: JACMRP01 sp018266295 Standard tmRNA
Rfam family: transfer-messenger RNA
About the family: Bacterial tmRNA, also known as 10Sa RNA or SsrA, is named for its dual tRNA and mRNA-like properties.
Source: RNAcentral
GGGGGCGACACGGCUUCGACGUGGGUGCUGAAGCAUAAGGAGCAUACCGGGGAGUAUGAGGACCUCGUUAAAAACAUACACUUUGUAAUUGGCAACGAUUACGCACUUGCAGCUUAAUUUAAUUUAAGCGCACGAGCCCUCGCUAGUGGUGACGCCGCGAGAUCAGUUCGUCAUUAGUUACCAAGGCUCUAGUGGGUUUCGCAGCGCUAGGGCCGAGAUAAAGCUGCGAAAAAUGUUGUGUGCGGAUUCUGUCGGUAGAAGACGCACAACCAAAUUAAAUUACCGGCUAAGUAUGUAGCGCCUUAUCGUGGAUCGCUUGCGGACGGGGGUUCAAUUCCCCCCGCCUCCACCA